AGUGAACGCUGGCGGUAGGCCUAACACAUGCAAGUCGAACGGCAGCACAGUAAGAGCUUGCUCUUACGGGUGGCGAGUGGCGGACGGGUGAGGAAUACAUCGGAAUCUACUUUUUCGUGGGGGAUAACGUAGGGAAACUUACGCUAAUACCGCAUACGACCUACGGGUGAAAGCAGGGGAUCUUCGGACCUUGCGCGAUUGAAUGAGCCGAUGUCGGAUUAGCUAGUUGGCGGGGUAAAGGCCCACCAAGGCGACGAUCCGUAGCUGGUCUGAGAGGAUGAUCAGACACACUGGAACUGAGACACGGUCCAGACUCCGACGGGAGGCAGCAGUGGGAAAUAUUGGACAAUGGGCGCAAGCCUAAUCCAGCCAUACCGCGUGGGUGAAGAAGGCCUUCGGGUUGUAAAGCCCUUUUGUUGGGAAAGAAAAGCAGCAGGUUAAUACCCCGCUGUUCUGACGGUACCCAAAGAAUAAGCACCGGCUAACUUCGUG
This 492-nucleotide ribosomal RNA is filed under the name uncultured bacterium. Its description in RNAcentral is "partial 16S ribosomal RNA". It matches the Rfam family "Bacterial small subunit ribosomal RNA", at positions 29 to 507 of the family's 1533-position model. The record is from RNAcentral.